RNAcentral lists this long non-coding RNA (220 nucleotides) under Mytilus galloprovincialis (Mediterranean mussel). Lineage: Eukaryota; Metazoa; Mollusca; Bivalvia; Mytilida; Mytilidae. The record is from RNAcentral.
UAAAAUGUGGUAAAUGUUAUUCACAAUUUUUGUUUCUUUAAAAACCUGCUAUUGAAUGCUAUAAAUUUAACACAGUUGUUCAUCAUUACGUUGAGUUGUUUAUCGUGGUUUACAUUUUACUCUCCAGUCUUAUUGUCGAUGGCGUAGCAGUAUGCUUGCAGAAGUAACAACACGAAGUAAGAUGAGGUUUCUAAGGACAAACGCACAAGUAAAUGGGGAA